UACGUAGGGGGCAAGCGUUGUCCGGAUUUAUUGGGCGUAAAGAGCGUGUAGGCGGCCAGGUAGGUCUGCUGUGAAAACUCGAGGCUUAACCUCGAGCUGUCGGCGGAAACCAUCUGGCUAGAGUCCGGAAGAGGAGAAUGGAAUUCCCGGUGUAGCGGUGAAAUGCGCAGAUAUCGGGAAGAACACACGUGGCGAAGGCGGUUCUCUGGGACGGUACUGACGCUGAGACGCGAAAGCGUGGGGAGCGAACAGG
RNAcentral lists this ribosomal RNA (253 nucleotides) under uncultured bacterium. RNAcentral describes it as "partial 16S ribosomal RNA". It matches the Rfam family "Bacterial small subunit ribosomal RNA", at positions 524 to 776 of the family's 1533-position model. The record is from RNAcentral.